Molecule: ribosomal RNA, 252 nt
Filed under: uncultured bacterium
Lineage: Bacteria
Description: partial 16S ribosomal RNA
Rfam family: Bacterial small subunit ribosomal RNA
Source: RNAcentral
UACAGAGGGUGCAAGCGUUAAUCGGAAUUACUGGGCGUAAAGGGCGCGUAGGCGGGUCAACAAGUUAGAUGUGAAAUCCCCGAGCUUAACUUGGGAACUGCAUUUAAGACUGUUGAGCUUGAGUAGAAUAGAGGUAAGUGGAAUUUCCGGUGUAGCGGUGAAAUGCGUAGAUAUCGGAAAGAACACCAGUGGCGAAGGCGACUUACUGGAUUCAUACUGACGUGAGGCGCGAAAGCAUGGGGAGCAAACAGG